CCGAGUUGUAAUUUGCAGAGGAUGCUUUUGGUGCGGUGCCUUCCAAGUUCCCUAGAACGGGACGCCAGAGAGGGUGAGAGCCCCGUACAGUUGGACACCAAGCCUUUGUAAAGCUCCUUCGACGAGUCGAGUAGUUUGGGAAUGCUGCUCAAAAUGGGAGGUAUAUUUCUUCUAAAGCUAAAUACCGGCCAGAGACCGAUAGCGCACAAGUAGAGUGAUCGAAAGAUGAAAAGCACUUUGAAAAGAGGGUUAAACAGCACGUGAAAUUGUUAAAAGGGAAGCGCUUGUGACCAGACUUGCGUCCGGUGAAUCACCCAGCUCUCGCGGCUGGGGCACUUCGCCGGCUCAGGCCAGCAUCAGCUCGCUGUCGGGGACAAAAGCUUCAGGAACGUAGCUCUCUUCGGGGAGUGUUAUAGCCUGUUGCAUAAUACCCUUUCGGCGGGCUGAGGUACGCGCUCCGCAAGGAUGCUGGCAUAAUGGUCAUCAGCGACCCGUCUUGAAACACGGACCAAGGAGUCAACCUUAUGUGCGAGUGUUCGGGUGUCAAACCCCUACGCGUAAUGAAAGUGAACGCAGGUGAGAGCUUCGGCGCAUCAUCGACCGAUCCUGAUGUUCUCGGAUGGAUUUGAGUAAGAGCAUAUAGGGUUGGACCCGAAAGAAGGUGAACUAUGCGUGUAUAGGGUGAAGCCAGAGGAAACUCUGGUGGAGGCUCGCAGCGGUUCUGACGUGCAAAUCGAUCGUCAAAUAUGCGCAUGGGGGCGAAAGACUAAUCGAACCUUCUAGUAGCUGGUUUCCGCCGAAGUUUCCCUCAGGAUAGCAGUGUUGAACUCAGUUUUAUGAGGUAAAGCGAAUGAUUAGGGACUCGGGGGCGCUAUAUUGCCUUCAUCCAUUCUCAAACUUUAAAUAUGUAAGAAGCCCUUGUUACUUAAUUGAACGUGGGCAUUCGAAUGUAUCAACACUAGUGGGCCAUUUUUGGUAAGCAGAACUGGCGAUGCGGGAUGAACCGAACGCGAGGUUAAGGUGCCAGAGUAGACGCUCAUCAGACACCACAAAAGGUGUUAGUACAUCUUGACAGCAGGACGGUGGCCAUGGAAGUCGGAAUCCGCUAAGGACUGUGUAACAACUCACCUGCCGAAUGUA
RNAcentral lists this ribosomal RNA (1140 nucleotides) under Colletotrichum gloeosporioides. RNAcentral's name for it is "eukaryotic LSU rRNA". It matches the Rfam family "Eukaryotic large subunit ribosomal RNA", at positions 138 to 1305 of the family's 3401-position model. Lineage: Eukaryota; Fungi; Ascomycota; Sordariomycetes; Glomerellales; Glomerellaceae. The record is from RNAcentral.